AUUGAACGCUGGCGGCAGGCUUAACACAUGCAAGUCGAGCGGGGUGAUGGUGCUUGCACUAUCACUUAGCGGCGGACGGGUGAGUAAUGCUUAGGAAUCUGCCUAUUAGUGGGGGACAACAUCUCGAAAGGGAUGCUAAUACCGCAUACGUCCUACGGGAGAAAGCAGGGGAUCACUUGUGACCUUGCGCUAAUAGAUGAGCCUAAGUCGGAUUAGCUAGUUGGUGGGGUAAAGGCCUACCAAGGCGACGAUCUGUAGCGGGUCUGGGAGGAUGAUCCGCCACACUGGGACUGAGACAGGGCCCAGACUCCUACGGGAGGCAGCAGUGGGGAAUAUUGGACAAUGGGGGGAACCCUGAUCCAGCCAUGCCGCGUGUGUGAAGAAGGCCUUAUGGUUGUAAAGCACUUUAAGCGAGGAGGAGGCUCUUUUGGUUAAUACCCAGAAUGAGUGGACGUUACUCGCAGAAUAAGCACCGGCUAACUCUGUGCCAGCCGCCGCCGUAA
RNAcentral lists this ribosomal RNA (503 nucleotides) under uncultured bacterium. RNAcentral describes it as "partial 16S ribosomal RNA". It matches the Rfam family "Bacterial small subunit ribosomal RNA", at positions 30 to 523 of the family's 1533-position model. The record is from RNAcentral.